This 76-nucleotide transfer RNA is filed under the name Micromonospora costi. RNAcentral describes it as "tRNA-Ile". It matches the Rfam family "tRNA". Rfam says of the family: Transfer RNA (tRNA) molecules are approximately 80 nucleotides in length. The record is from RNAcentral. Lineage: Bacteria; Bacillati; Actinomycetota; Actinomycetes; Micromonosporales; Micromonosporaceae.
GCCGUCGUGGCCAAGUCCGGUUAAGGCACCUCGCUGAUAACGAGGAGAUGCGCUGGUUCGAUUCCAGCCGACGGCA